AUACGUCGGGGGCGAGCGUUGUCCGGAAUGAUUGGGCGUAAAGGGCGCGUAGGCGGCCCGGUAAGUCUGGAGUGAAAGUCCUGUUUUUAAGAUGGGACUGCAUUGGAUACUGUCGGGCUUGAGUGCCGGGGAGGUAAGUGGAAUUCCCAGUGUUGCGGUGAAAGGGGUAGAGAUUGGGAGGAACACCAGUGGCGAAGGCGACUUACUGGACUGUAACUGACGCUGAGGCGCGAAAGUGUGGGGAGCAAACAGGAUUAGAUACCCUGGUAGUCCACACUGUAAACGAUGAAUGCUAGGUGUAGGGGGUAUCGACCCCUUCUGUGCCGCAGUCAACACAAUAAGCAUUCCGCCUGGGGAGUACGGCCGCAAGGUUGAAACUUAAAUGAAUUGACGGGG
This 396-nucleotide ribosomal RNA is filed under the name uncultured bacterium. RNAcentral's name for it is "partial 16S ribosomal RNA". It matches the Rfam family "Bacterial small subunit ribosomal RNA", at positions 523 to 918 of the family's 1533-position model. The record is from RNAcentral.